This is a long non-coding RNA of Leptopilina boulardi, 989 nucleotides long. RefSeq lists it as uncharacterized. The transcript is spliced from 3 exons. Lineage: Eukaryota; Metazoa; Arthropoda; Insecta; Hymenoptera; Figitidae. The record is from RefSeq and is a predicted model, not a curated record.
UUAAAAAUUAUGUUUUGUCUCACUCCAUCCUUCAAGUGUGUGCGUCAUCGUAAUAUUUCUUCUCCGUUCAAUCUAUGGCAUUUGUCUCUGUCACUCAAUUGUAAACUAUGGGACAGCAUAUAAAAAGAGGCCAGUGCCAUAGGAGCUUUAAUAAAAAAGUAACCACCAAAAAUAGAAGAACCUUCUAAGUGACUUGUGGAGUGCACAGUGCAGUGAUUUUUUUCUUUUUAGUGAAAAAAAAUUUUUAAAAGAAACGAUGGAGAAAAUGGAUUAUUAUACAACAAUAGAAGUGAUGAUUCAGGGUCCAAAAAGAUGGCUUUUGGAAAGCAAUACGGAGCAAUUUAGAGAACUGUGCAUCACAGGGUUGGCGUUAAGAACAAGAGACAUUUUUAAUGGGGAGAGAGAUUCUCAUUCUCCAGUUUAUUUAAAUUUCAAUGGAGUACGGGCUAAAGUUCACGGUAUGGUGAAUGGAUAAUGGAUACGACGCAUUGACUUGGACUUUGGUAAAAUUUUGAAUGAGGACAAUUACACGGGCUUCCAUUUAUUUUUCCAAAUACCGAAUGAAUGGGUGGUCAAUUGCUUUGAUCUCCAGAAAUUAACUGAUUUUCUGACAUUGGCGGCAGGAGUAAGGCGAUACGGACUUUUCAGUCCAAGUUCAUCAAUGGACGACGAUGAGUAUUUCUUGGAACACAUGAAUAUCGUUGUAGAAGUAUUGGAAAUUCAGGAUUUCGUGUUCCUGUUAAAAAAACGUCCUGAUAUUGACAAUUUAUCGGGAGAUGAAUUUGAUUUUGACAUCAUAGAAGGUCCGGUUUCAAAUCCAACAUAAACCGAAGAAUUUACAAUGAGUCAAAUGGACAUUGAUUUCCUUCCAACUCAAGGUGUUAAAAUUGAAGAAAUUGUUGUUAUAGAUGAGGAAAAUGAGGAGGAGGAGAGGCAAAGGGAGGUAAACGAAGCCACUAGUCUCCUGGAAUUAAUCAUUAAAAAGGAAU